This 265-nucleotide non-coding RNA is filed under the name Lacrimispora celerecrescens. RNAcentral's name for it is "Clostridium celerecrescens T-box sequence". It matches the Rfam family "T-box leader". Rfam says of the family: Uncharged tRNA acts as the effector for transcription antitermination of genes in the T-box leader family. The record is from RNAcentral. Lineage: Bacteria; Bacillati; Bacillota; Clostridia; Lachnospirales; Lachnospiraceae.
GAAAAACUGUUGAGCAGGAGUAAGUAAGAUUUUAACAUCAUGCACAGAGAGCUUCCGGUUGGUGGGAGGAAGCGUUGAUGUCUGGUCUGAAUGGACCUGCGAGGGCGGCUUGAAACCGGUUUUAUAAUCGGGAGUAGGUGUCGACGGGUUUCCUAUCCGUUAUCAAGGGGAGGCACAUGUUAGUGUGUUAUAAAGCGGGAGAAGUCUAUCUUCUCCAAUCAGGGUGGUACCACGGAACCGUAAUUUACAGGCUUUCGUCCCUCUU